Molecule: ribosomal RNA, 480 nt
Filed under: uncultured bacterium
Lineage: Bacteria
Description: bacterial SSU rRNA
Rfam family: Bacterial small subunit ribosomal RNA
Source: RNAcentral
AGAACGAACGCUGGUGGCGUGCCUAUACAUGCAAGUCGAGCGGUGCAGCAAUGCAUAGCGGCGAACGGGUGAGUAACACGUAAGCAAUCUGCCCCCUGCUUGGGAAUAGCCGUGCCAACGCGCGGAUAAUACCGAAUAUCGUGGCCUUCCGCAUGGGAGGUUGACAAAAGAUUUAUCGGCAGGGGAUGAGCUUGCGUCCGAUUAGCUAGUUGGCGGGGCAACGGCCCACCAAGGCGACGAUCGGUAGCCGGCCUGAGAGGGCGAUCGGCCACAUUGGGACUGAGAUACGGCCCAGACUCCUACGGGAGGCAGCAGUAGGGAAUAUUGCACAAUGGGGGAAACCCUGAUGCAGCAACGCCAACCGUGUGGGAAGAAGCAUUUCGGUGUGUAAACCACUGUCGUGAGGGAAUAAGGCAUUUUUUCGGAGAUGUUGAAUGUACCUCGAAAGGAAGCACCGGCAAACUUCGUGCCAGCCGCCGC